AACGAACGCUGGCGGCGUGCUUAACACAUGCAAGUCGAACGCGAAAGGGACUUCGGUCCUGAGUAAAGUGGCGCACGGGUGAGUAACGCGUAGAUAACCUGUCUUCAUGUCUGGAAUAAUACGCCGAAAGGGGUACUAAUACCGGAUAUUCUUGCUUUUCAUAAGUUAUGCAAGCAAAGGUGGCCUCUGCAUAUGCUACUGCAUGAAGAGGGGUCUGCGUACCAUUAGCUGGUAGGUGGGGUAAUGGCCUACCUAGGCGACGAUGGUUAGCGGGUCUGAGAGGAUGAUCCGCCACACUGGCACUGGAACACGGGCCAGACUCCUACGGGAGGCAGCAGUGAGGAAUAUUGCGCAAUGGGGGAAACCCUGACGCAGCGACGCCGCGUGAGUGAGGAAAGGCCUUCGGGUCGUAAAGCUCUGUCAAGAGGAAAGAAGUGUACAAUGGCUAAUACCUGUUGUAUUUGACGGUACCUCUAAAGGAAGCACCGGCUAACUCCGUGCCAGCAGCUGC
This 511-nucleotide ribosomal RNA is filed under the name uncultured bacterium. Its description in RNAcentral is "bacterial SSU rRNA". It matches the Rfam family "Bacterial small subunit ribosomal RNA", at positions 29 to 518 of the family's 1533-position model. The record is from RNAcentral.